UUGUGGGCAGCGUGUAAGAGUGUGUUUGACCUCUGGACUGAUUGUCCAUGAUCCUGUAUUUUUCGCGAAAAUCGAAAAGCCAAGUUCGGCGCGUUUUUCGACGAAAUUCGCCGAAAGAACGCGGAUUCGGUUUGGAUUUCUUCCGAACUCGUUUAGUGGCUUUGUUAGUUGUCGAUAAGCCUUGUCGGCUGUUCACCAUCAUCAUUUUAUGGGUUCGGUGAUGAUGGGUGAGCGACGGUGGGUUCCGGUGUCGAAAUAGACACUUUCGGGAACCCGAAUUUGUACGAUUAUCCGGCGAUAAUCGUAUUAUUAUGUUAUCUUGUGUUUGCUGCCAAAACAUCCAAAUUGGAGUGUUUUGGGGCAGCAGGUGACUCGUGGCACGAGUCGGUGAGUUCGGGACACUUAGUGGGUCCCGACGACGUCCCGGUGUAGUCUUCGGGACUUUCGGCGAGUUACGGUAAUCGGUAUUGGAAAACCGAUUUUCGUGGAAUCGUUUGUGGGGUUGUGGAUACUGUGAUUAUUAGUUGUGGGUUAGAUACUAACCCGGUGGACCCUCUAUAGGUCCUGUUGACAUUUUUUUUGCAGUCAGGAGACAGACGCGACAUCCGUACAGGUGGGUACUUCGAUCCGACGUCGGUACAGUGGUGCACGCUUGGUGACGGUUUCUUACCCUUACUCUUCUGUUGUUACUAUCGCAUAGUAU
Molecule: long non-coding RNA, 703 nt
Filed under: Ananas comosus (pineapple)
Lineage: Eukaryota; Viridiplantae; Streptophyta; Magnoliopsida; Poales; Bromeliaceae
Description: long non-coding RNA (ACOM_LNC044494)
Source: RNAcentral